This 502-nucleotide unclassified non-coding RNA is filed under the name Hevea brasiliensis (rubber tree). Lineage: Eukaryota; Viridiplantae; Streptophyta; Magnoliopsida; Malpighiales; Euphorbiaceae. The record is from RNAcentral.
AUAAUCACUGAAAAAGAAACCACUAAUGGUGAAAUUUUUAUUGUGAAGGAUACACAACUGACAUUUAAAGCUUUGUACUCCCAGAUCACCAAGUAUCCCUAAGAUUCAAGGGCAUGAACAUGGUUUCUGUUCUUCGUCUUUCUUGGGCAGAUGAUCUCUUCAUUUACACAUGGAAAGGAAUAAUGUCAAGUUUUCAUAGAUUAGAGGAAGUUAAAAUCUGAUACUGCUCAUUCACUCUUCUAUAUUCACUAAUUACAGUUUUGACAACCUGCAUGUGAGAUGGGAAGCAUGCAAUUGCAUGGAUUGUAACGAAGGAAAUUAAAUUAUUAUGUGCACAUUGCAUGUCAUUUCAUAUGGAAGCAUCAAUUUCUCGUUCCUAGAAGUCAUUCGCAUUAGUAAGUUUCCCUCUACUUUCAAGGGAAUAAAACUAAUGACACAAGUUAGCACCACGUUGUUCUUGUAACUUGUAGUCCACUCUCAUUGGUAUCAACACAUCUUAAAA